Molecule: ribosomal RNA, 253 nt
Filed under: uncultured bacterium
Lineage: Bacteria
Description: partial 16S ribosomal RNA
Rfam family: Bacterial small subunit ribosomal RNA
Source: RNAcentral
UACGUAGGUGGCAAGCGUUGUUCGGAAUUAUUGGGUUUAAAGGGUGCGUAGGCGGCUUGUUAAGUCAGGGGUGAAAGACGGUAGCUCAACUAUCGCAGUGCCUUUGAUACUGACGAGCUUGAAUGUACUUGAGGUAGGCGGAAUGUGACAAGUAGCAGUGAAAUGCAUAGAUAUGUCACAGAACACCAAUUGCGAAGGCAGCUUACUAAAGUAUGAUUGACGCUGAGGCACGAAAGCGUGGGGAUCAAACAGG